UAACUAGUUUAGGAAACAGAUGACUAAUACCGACAACUAAAACCUAACACCGCAUGGUGUAGGGUUAGAAAGAUUGGUUUCGGCUAUCUACUUUAGGAUCGGACCCGCGGUGCAUUAGUUAGUUGGUGAGGUAAAGGCUCACCAAGACCGUGAUGCAUAGCCGACCUGAGAGGUAAUCGGCCACACUGGGACUGAGACACGGCCCAGACUCCUACGGGAGGCAGCAGUAGGGAAUCUUCCACAAUGGACGAAAGUCUGAUGGAGCAACGCCGCGUGAGUGAAGAAGGUUUUCGGAUCGUAAAACUCUGUUGUUGGAGAAGAAUGUAUCUGAUAGUAACUGAUCAGGUAGUGACGGUAUCCAACCAGAAAGCCACGGCUAACUACGUG
RNAcentral lists this ribosomal RNA (387 nucleotides) under uncultured bacterium. Its description in RNAcentral is "bacterial SSU rRNA". It matches the Rfam family "Bacterial small subunit ribosomal RNA", at positions 141 to 507 of the family's 1533-position model. The record is from RNAcentral.